RNAcentral lists this ribosomal RNA (404 nucleotides) under Verrucomicrobiota bacterium. Its description in RNAcentral is "Verrucomicrobia bacterium partial 16S ribosomal RNA". It matches the Rfam family "Bacterial small subunit ribosomal RNA", at positions 355 to 776 of the family's 1533-position model. Lineage: Bacteria; Pseudomonadati; Verrucomicrobiota. The record is from RNAcentral.
UGGGGAAUAUUGCACAAUGGGGGAAACCCUGAUGCAGCGACGCCGCGUGAGCGAAGAAGGCUUUCGAGUCGUAAAGCUCUGUCCUAUGAGAAGAUAAUGACGGUAACAUAGGAGGAAGCCCUGGCUAAAUACGUGCCAGCAGCCGCGGUAAUACGUAUGGGGCGAGCGAUGUCCGGAAUUAUUGGGCGUAAUGGGUACGUAGGCGGGUUUUUAAGUCAGGUGUCAAAGCGUGGAGCUUAACUCCAUUAAGCACUUGAAACUGAAAGACUUGAGUGAAGGAGAGGAAAGUGGAAUUCCUAGCGUAGCGGUGAAAUGCGUAGAUAUUAGGGGGAAAUACCGGUGGCGAAGGCGACUUUCUGGACUUUUGCUGACGCUCAGGUACGAAAGCGUGGGGAGCAAACAGG